ACGGGUGAGUAAUGCUUAGGAAUCUGCCCAGUAGUGGGGGACAACAGUCGGAAACGGCUGCUAAUGCCGCAUACGCCCUACGGGGGAAAGCAGGGGAUCUUCGGACCUUGCGCUAUUGGAUGAGCCUAAGUCGGAUUAGCUAGUUGGUGGGGUAAAGGCCUACCAAGGCGACGAUCCGUAGCUGGUCUGAGAGGAUGAUCAGCCACAUCGGGACUGAGACACGGGCCGAACUCCUACGGGAGGCAGCAGUGGGGAAUAUUGGACAAUGGGGGCAACCCUGAUCCAGCCAUGCCGCGUGUGUGAAGAAGGCUUUCGGGUUGUAAAGCACUUUCAGCGAGGAGGAAGGCCUUAAAGUUAAUACCUUUAAGGAUUGACGUUACUCGCAGAAGAAGCACCGGCUAACUCCGUGCCAGCAGCCGCGGUAAUACGGAGGGUGCAAGCGUUAAUCGGAAUUACUGGGCGUAAAGCGCGCGUAGGUGGUUUGGUAAGCGAGAUGUGAAAGGCCCGGGGCUUA
This 514-nucleotide ribosomal RNA is filed under the name uncultured bacterium. Its description in RNAcentral is "bacterial SSU rRNA". It matches the Rfam family "Bacterial small subunit ribosomal RNA", at positions 102 to 611 of the family's 1533-position model. The record is from RNAcentral.